Molecule: ribosomal RNA, 253 nt
Filed under: uncultured bacterium
Lineage: Bacteria
Description: partial 16S ribosomal RNA
Rfam family: Bacterial small subunit ribosomal RNA
Source: RNAcentral
UACAGAGGGUGCAAGCGUUAAUCGGAAUUACUGGGCGUAAAGCGUGCGUAGACGGUUAUGUAAGUCAGGUGUGAAAGCCCCGGGCUCAACCUGGGAAUGGCAUUUGAUACGGGCGGGCUUGAAUCCAAGAGAGGGUGGUGGAAUUCCCAGUGUAGAGGUGAAAUUCGUAGAUAUUGGGAAGAACACCAGUGGCGAAGGCGGCCACCUGGCUUGGUAUUGACGCUGAGGCGCGAAAGCGUGGGGAGCAAACAGG